Molecule: unclassified non-coding RNA, 329 nt
Filed under: soil metagenome
Description: partial contains 5.8S ribosomal RNA, internal transcribed spacer 2, and large subunit ribosomal RNA
Rfam family: 5.8S ribosomal RNA (bases 1-120)
Source: RNAcentral
GAUGAAGAACGUAGCGAAAUGCGAUAAGUAAUGUGAAUUGCAGAAUUCAGUGAAUCAUCGAAUCUUUGAACGCAUAUUGCGCCCCUUGGUAUUCCGAGGGGCAUGCCUGUUCGAGCGUCAUUAUAACCCCUCAAGCUCAGCUUGGUGUUGGGGCCUGCUGCACUGGCAGCCCUUAAAAUCAGUGGCGGCGCCAUCUGGCUCUAAGCGUAGUAAUUCUUCUCGCUAUGGAGUCCUGGUGGAUGCUUGCCAUCAACCCCCAAUUUUUCUAUGGUUGACCUCGGAUCAGGUAGGGAUACCCGCUGAACUUAAGCAUAUCAAUAAGCGGAGGA